CAAUAGCGUAUAUUAACGUUGUUGCAGUUAAAAAGCUCGUAGUUGGAUUUCUGGAGGGAGCGUCGGCCCGUAUUUACGAGUGCGUGACGUCUCUGUCCAUCCUUGCGGGAAGGCACGGCAUUGAUUUGUUGUGUCGGAUCGCAUCAUUUACUGUGAAAAAAUUAGAGUGUUCAAAGCAGGCUUUCGCUUGAAUACAUUAGCAUGGAAUAAUAAGAUAGGACUUUGGUGCUAUUUUGUUGGUUGAGCCUAAAGUAAUGAUUAAUAGGGAUAGUUGGGGGCACCUGUAUUGCGUUGUCAGAGGUGAAAUUCUUGGAUUUACGCAAGACAAACAGCUGCGAAAGCGUCUGCCCAGGAUGUUUUCAUUAA
RNAcentral lists this ribosomal RNA (366 nucleotides) under uncultured eukaryote. Its description in RNAcentral is "partial 18S ribosomal RNA". It matches the Rfam family "Eukaryotic small subunit ribosomal RNA", at positions 592 to 976 of the family's 1831-position model. The record is from RNAcentral.